This 413-nucleotide long non-coding RNA is filed under the name Equus caballus (horse). RNAcentral's name for it is "lncRNA (ENSECAG00000057327.1)". The record is from RNAcentral. Lineage: Eukaryota; Metazoa; Chordata; Mammalia; Perissodactyla; Equidae.
GGAUCCCAUGGUCGGAGGUGGUCAGUGGGCAGAGACGGAACUGGGCCCUGAGGCCCGGUGGAGUUUGGUGAGGCGGCAGGUGAUAACGAUGAUGAUGAUGCAGAGUCAAACAGCUGUGUCCCAGGUGCUGCGCUAAGGCCUUCAUGUGACUUGUCUCACUCAGUCCUCCCUGCGCCCUGUGUGGUGGACAUCACCAUCCCCACUGAAGGGGAAACAGGAUCAAGGUCUCAAAGCUCUGAGGGAGAGAGAAGAGAAUUUCUUGGAGCUCGAUUUCUCCCUGCCCCUCAGCAGUUCCCUCCACGCUGAAGGCUGGGUCACACGCUCAGGUCGUAACGAACCACAAAGCUGUUUGGGAGAAAGGGACCACGAGAGGACAUUUGACAAAGAGUGAACAGAUGUCAUUUCGGAGGCAG